GAACCCCCUCCCCCGGGGGAUNGGAACCGAGGCGGUGCUGCCACCGCACGUCCGGUAUGCUUAGCCGAGCCACCAGGCUUCGGCGGCGGUCNUGAGACGUUUAACCCUCUGUGAAAACCCUCAGUUGCUUCGGCAGCGCGUUCCGCCCUCGCUGGCGGGACGGUCAGCCUGCCGGCGGCACCCAACCAAAACCCACGCGUGUAAUUUAGCAAAAAUUUUACGUCUGAGCGCGAAGUCGAAUUGACUAUAAAACUUUCAACAACGGAUCUCUUGGUUCCCGCAUCGAUGAAGAACGCAGCGAAACGCGAUAGUUAAUGUGAAUUGCAGAAUUCAGUGAAUCAUCGAGUCUUUGAACGCACAUUGCGCCUUUUGGUAUUCCGAGAGGCACGUCUGUUCGAGCGUCAGUAGAACCCUUCCGGACCGGCGGUUUUGUUACCGCCCGGCCCGGGACCCUGGCGUGGGGAAGCGAAACCCUCUCACGGGUUUUUUCCCCCGCUUAAACGCGGAGAAAGCUAGCGGGCACAGGCCUCACGUAUUGCGACAACUCGUAAAUCAUUUAUAGGUUGUUACCGCUAACAGUGGACCUUGCCCCGCCUCCUAAACCUACGGGAACUCUGUUCCCCUGACUCUUGACCUCGGAUCAGAUGAGGAUACCCGCUGAACUUAA
The sequence is a ribosomal RNA, 667 nucleotides long. The stretch from base 251 to 404 matches the Rfam family "5.8S ribosomal RNA".